Long non-coding RNA from Megalobrama amblycephala (Wuchang bream), 1845 nucleotides. RefSeq lists it as uncharacterized. The transcript is spliced from 4 exons. The record is from RefSeq and is a predicted model, not a curated record. Lineage: Eukaryota; Metazoa; Chordata; Actinopteri; Cypriniformes; Xenocyprididae.
CGUCUCCCUUCUCUUUCCUCUGUCGCUCCAUCUCCUGCACCAGAUACACACCUGACAGCUCAUUGCCAUGUGUACCACCACAUACGGCCAAACGACCCAUUGCUGGCAGGAACGCUGAUGCCAUCUACAACAGAAAAUGUUUCUGCACUUGCACCGUUGGAAUCGUCAGUGUCAACCUUUUUGCCAAGUGAAAAGCGAUUCCCUUUUCAUAGUCACAACAACCCACCAAGAACAACUGACCUGGUUUACAGUAUGGAGUUAGUUGAAGCACACUUGUGAUGCUCUUGCCUGCACUGACAGAGAGUGUGAAAGUUAGACUCCUCCAACAGGCGUCAAUGGAGGUUGCCAGAUCUGCAUAAAAGGGCAGCUUCUUCCCGGAGAGCUCAAACACCUGCGGAAGCAUCAAAGGAUUAAAUAAACGGUCGAAGAUGAAAGGUACAGAACCACCUGAACCCUGGGUGCGUGGUGAGAUGCAUAACAUGGCCUUUCUGUGGUUAGAACACACAAACACGGGCAUGAGUAAACACACGUGCACAAACAUCCACGUGCACCUAACGUAUGGGAAACACAGAGAGUACGCUUGUAACUGUUUUCUGUGAAGCAAAAAAUGUUGUCUGUCAAACUCCAGAACAGACAAAAGAUAUCAUAAAAGAACUCCAUAUAUGGAGGUCAUGCACAUAUCUCAAAAGAAAAUUAAUCUUUAUUCACAUGAUACUCCUCUCCACCAAAGCUCUCCAUGUUAAUCUGUUCCUGUAAGACUAUUAUUACAUUUCUUUUAUUUUAUAUCUUGACAGACCUGUUCUUGUUUGGAAGAGUUGCAUGAAGAUUCUUCAAAGCUUGAUGUGAAGAUGCAUAAGUAAUGACAGAAUAUUUUUGAUCUCUUUUUGCCAUGCAACCAAAGGGAUUGACAAUGAUAUUUAAAUGUUGCACUGUUGCACAAGAUGUUCUUCUCGCGCUGAAUUUAAAUUUGCAUCACACUAAGAUGUUUUGCGUCAUCUGCAGCUCAGAGACGAAGAUGUGGAAAAUGUUAUGGAAUCUUGUGACAACUCAUGGACCAUGAAUAUUGCUCAUCUGAGAAGAAGUAAAACAGACAACAUGGCUUUUAAAAAGUUCAAACCCACUGACACUUCAAUGCCUGCCAUUUUAGGAUGGACUUCAAAGACUGUGAAUUAAUGGAGGGAGGCGUUACAGAGCAAUUCUACUGCCAAUUACAGUUUAUACCAGCUAGACAUCGACACACGCUUCACUUACUAUCGCCUUCAUCCUUUCCGUCAGAUUAAGAUGAACAUCAAAAGACUAUAAAUCAGUCAUUUACUGUUAAAUCAUAAUCUUUACCAAUUAAACAUUGGCUUAAUAACAUUUUAAUAAUGUCUUCAAUGAAUGCUUGACUGGUAUAAGACAAUAUGUACGAAUAUUUGGCAUGUAAAUUUAUUGUAAUGAGGACGGGCUCCAGCUGAGUCUGGUUCAAUCAAGGUUUUUUCUCCCUAAAAAUUUUUUUUUUUUUUUUUUCCUUGGCAUAAUUAUAUUUGGCUCAUUCACAAUUAAAAAAUAAUUUUCUGUAAAGCUGCUUUGAAAAUGUGUUUAUGUGAAAGUGAAACAAAUGUAGGCUACUUGUUUUGUGGUGGUCAAUAACAAUGCUAAUCUUUACAAUGCUAAAUUUUCUUUUGCUUUUAAAUGCUUAUUUCAAUCCCCAAACCAAUAUACAACAAAAAGAGGUUUUUAAAACAUUGUUAAUAUGCAUUCCAUGUGGAAUUUUAUAAAUUCCAAAUGUGUUUGCAAAGACAUUUCUGUGAAUUCAUUAAUGACCGAAUAAUGUCAUCAGGGUGUAAUUUGUCUUUAUGGUAA